AAUGAACGUUGGCGGCGUGGAUUAGGCAUGCAAGUCGAGCGAGAACCCAGCAAUGGGGGACAGCGGCGAAAGGGACAGUAAUGUGUAGAUUAUCUGCCCUCGGGUCCGGGAUAGCUGCGGGAAACUGCAGGUAAUACCGGAUAACAUCUCCGGAUCAAAGGUGUGAUUCCGCCCGAGGAUGAGUCUGCAUCCUAUUAGCUUGUUGGUGGGGUAAUGGCCUACCAAGGCUUUGAUGGGUAGCGGGUGUGAGAGCACGACCCGCGUCAUUGGGACUGAGACGCUGCCCAGACACCUACGGGUGGCUGCAGUCGAGAAUCUUCGGCAAUGGGCGCAAGCCUGACCGAGCGACGCCGCGUGUGGGAUGAAGGCCUGGUUGUAACCACUGACAGAGGGGAUGAAAUGCAGGU
Molecule: ribosomal RNA, 407 nt
Filed under: uncultured bacterium
Lineage: Bacteria
Description: bacterial SSU rRNA
Rfam family: Bacterial small subunit ribosomal RNA
Source: RNAcentral